GACGAACGCUGGCGGCGUGCCUAAUACAUGCAAGUAGAACGCACAGUUUAUACCGUAGCUUGCUACACCAUAGACUGUGAGUUGCGAACGGGUGAGUAACGCGUAGGUAACCUGCCUGGUAGCGGGGGAUAACUAUUGGAAACGAUAGCUAAUACCGCAUAAUAUUAAUUAUUGCAUGAUAAUUGAUUGAAAGAUGCAACUGCAUCACUACCAGAUGGACCUGCGUUGUAUUAGCUAGUAGGUGAGGUAACGGCUCACCUAGGCGACGAUACAUAGCCGACCUGAGAGGGUGAUCGGCCACACUGGGAAUGAGACACGGCACAGACUCCUACGGGAGGCAGCAGUAGGGAAUCUUCGGGAAUGGACGAAAGUCUGACCGAGCAACGCCGCGUGAGUGAAGAAGGUUGUCGGAUCGUAAAGCUCUGUUGUAAGAGAAGAACGGGUGUGAGAGUGGAAAGUUCACACUGUGACGGUAUCUGACCAGAAAGGGACGGCUAACUACGUG
This 505-nucleotide ribosomal RNA is filed under the name uncultured bacterium. RNAcentral's name for it is "partial 16S ribosomal RNA". It matches the Rfam family "Bacterial small subunit ribosomal RNA", at positions 28 to 507 of the family's 1533-position model. The record is from RNAcentral.